RNAcentral lists this ribosomal RNA (253 nucleotides) under uncultured bacterium. RNAcentral's name for it is "partial 16S ribosomal RNA". It matches the Rfam family "Bacterial small subunit ribosomal RNA", at positions 524 to 776 of the family's 1533-position model. The record is from RNAcentral.
UACGGAGGGGGCUAGCGUUGUUCGGAAUUAUUGGGCGUAAAGGGCGCGUAGGCGGCCGGAUAAGUCUGAUGUGAAAUCCCUCGGCCCAACCGGGGAACUGCAUCUGAAACUGUUCGGCUUGAGUCCGGGAGAGGGUAGUGGAAUUCCCAGUGUAGCGGUGAAAUGCGUAGAUAUUGGGAGGAACACCGGUGGCGAAGGCGGCUACCUGGACCGGUACUGACGCUGAGGCGCGAAAGCCAGGGGAGCAAACAGG